Molecule: ribosomal RNA, 497 nt
Filed under: uncultured bacterium
Lineage: Bacteria
Description: partial 16S ribosomal RNA
Rfam family: Bacterial small subunit ribosomal RNA
Source: RNAcentral
GAUGAACGCUGGCGGCGUGCCUAAUACAUGCAAGUCGAGCGAACAGGCGAGGAGCUUGCUCCUCUGACGUUAGCGGCGGACGGGUGAGUAACACGUGGAUAACCUACCUAUAAGAUUGGGAUAACUUCGGGAAACCGGAGCUAAUACCGGAUAAUAUAUUGAACCGCAUGGUUCAAUAGUGAAAGACGGUUUUGCUGUCACUUAUAGAUGGAUCCGCGCCGCAUUAGCUAGUUGGUAAGGUAACGGCUUACCAAGGCAACGAUGCGUAGCCGACCUGAGAGGGUGAUCGGCCACACUGGAACUGAGACACGGUCCAGACUCCUACGGGAGGCAGCAGUAGGGAAUCUUCCGCAAUGGGCGAAAGCCUGACGGAGCAACGCCGCGUGAGUGAUGAAGGUCUUCGGAUCGUAAAACUCUGUUAUUAGGGAAGAACAAAUGUGUAAGUAACUAUGCACGUCUUGACGGUACCUAAUCAGAAAGCCACGGCUAACUACGUG